UACGGAGGGUGCAAGCGUUAUCCGGAUUCACUGGGUUUAAAGGGUGUGUAGGCGGACUUUUAAGUCAGUGGUGAAAUCUCCAGGCUCAACCUGGAAACUGCCAUUGAUACUAUUAGUCUUGAAUAUUGUUGAGGUAGGCGGAAUAUGUCAUGUAGCGGUGAAAUGCUUAGAUAUGACAUAGAACACCGAUUGCGAAGGCAGCUUGCUAAACAAUUAUUGACGCUGAGGCACGAAAGCGUGGGGAUCAAACAGG
Molecule: ribosomal RNA, 253 nt
Filed under: uncultured bacterium
Lineage: Bacteria
Description: partial 16S ribosomal RNA
Rfam family: Bacterial small subunit ribosomal RNA
Source: RNAcentral